UUGCCACAACGGCUUCCUGACGCGGCAAUCUUACUUAACUGGAGCA
RNAcentral lists this non-coding RNA (46 nucleotides) under unclassified sequences. RNAcentral's name for it is "SAM-SAH-Weickhmann-2018 RNA". It matches the Rfam family "SAM/SAH riboswitch aptamer". The record is from RNAcentral.